UCAAUGGACAGCCACGUGGUAGUAUGGUUGACUAGGCUUAAUUUAGGCACAUAUCACACCCCAUAGUGCAGGUAAACGUUUUUAAUGUCAUUACUGUCAGCUCCACAACCCGCUGAAGCGAUGCGUUCCCUUUCAACCACCAAUUUCAUGGCACCGUUUGUUUGCGCAUGGCCAGUUGCUCUCUAGGUCUUUCGGUCCCCCUCGAAACAACCGAAAUCUUUGCACUACAACAUCUUAUCACUGGAGCGUCAACGCUUGGGGGUAUUUGGCAAAAUAAGGAAGGGUGGCCAAAUCAUGACCUGAGCAGAUCGACUGAAUUUCGAUGGAGUCUUUGAAUGCCGUAGAGCUCUGUGAAUUGGGGGAUGGCGACAAGCCUGCUGCCUGCGAGGUCACUACAACUCCGCGAAAAGCUACCCAGUCAAGACCUCAGACAGUAGCUAGCACUGGAAUCGAGAACACGUCAUAUCAGGACGAGGAGCACGAGACGAGGUUCAGUCCCCAGGGAGCAGACCGCUCGAGUGUUCAUCUGUCCACGUCUAAUGACAGGGGCUAUCAGUCACAACCCAGGCCUUUCCAGCGAGAUGAGCUGUCACACCGCUCUGAGGCAGGACAUGAGACUGACUUUAAAAACCAUUCACUCGACUACGGGUUCCUAUUUGCCAUGGUGUUCUUGGUGAGUGGAAUUCUACUGGUGGUCAUUGCCUACACCAUUCCCCGAGAGGCUAAGGUCAACCCAGACCUGGUGUCAGCUCGUCAGAUGGAGAAACUGGAGAUGUAUUACACACAACUGGGCUCGCACCUCGACAAGUGUAUCAUAGCAGGCCUGGGACUGUUGACUCUAGGGGGAAUGCUCUUGUCCAUCUUGCUAAUGGUGUCCAUAUGCAAAGGUGAGCUGUACCACCGGAGGACAUUUUUCCAACCCAGGAAAACAUACGGGUCGAUUCACCUCCGGAUGAGACAGUUGGGCGAGGGGGAAGAAUCUCUGUUUGAAUGUGAACUUAGCCACACUGGCACCACAGCUCUAGCCACUAGCCCUACAGAUGGAACACAGGUGCACAGUGGCACCCAACAGGAGUAGCACAAUAUGAGCACGUUUCUAUCCACAGACCUAUUUCAAGGGUUGUAAUCAUUACUUAACGGGCUUUGUAAAAAAGUGAAGCCAGCAAGAAAGUAAGAGUCCUGCUACGUGGAACAUCUUCGAUCCUCUGAACUGUCCUCAGGCAACUCAAUAUCAGAGUUCAACGAUACAUCCACCCUCUCAGCAUACAACACAGGAGGCAGAUUGCUCCUGAGGCUCAAGAGAUUCAUACAACUAUACUGAAAAGAUGGCAGAACCUACAUACCAGACCUUACUUCGUCUCCAUAUUAGAGGUCGACCGAUUAUGAUUUUUCAACGCCGAUAUCAAUACUGAUUAUUGGAGGACGAAAAAAAGUCGAUACCGAUUAAUCGGCCGAUUUUAAAAUAAAUAAAAAGUGUUUAUUUGUUAUAAUGACAAUUACAACAAUACUAAAUGAACACUUAUUUUAAUAUAAUACAUCAAUAAAAAUCAAUUUAGCCUCAAAUAAAUAAUGAAACAUGUUAAAUUUGGUUUAAAUAAUGCAAAAACAAAGUGUUUGAGAAGAAAGUAAAAGUGCAAUUAUUGCCAUGUAAAAAAGCUAACGUUUAAGAUCCUUGCUCAGAACAUGUGAAAGUUGGUGGUUCCUUUUAACAUGAGACUUCAAUAUUCCAAGGUAAGAGGUUUUAGGUUGUAUAGUAUUUAUAGGACUAUUUCUAUCUAUACCAUUUUUAUUUCAUUAACCUUUGACUAUUGGAUGUUCUUAUAGGCACUUUAGUAUUCCCAGUGUAACAGUAUAGCUUUCGUCCCUCUCCUCCACCCUACCUGGGCUUGAACCAGGAACACAUUGACAACAGCCACUGUCGAAGCAUCGCUCCACAAAAGCCGCGGGGAACAAUCACUCCAAGUCUCAGAGCGAGUGACGUUUGAAACACUAUUAGCGCGCACCCCACUAACUAGCUAGCCAUUUCACAUCAGUUACACCAGCCUAAUCUCGGGAGUUGAUAGGCUUGAAGUCAUAAACAGCGCUGUGCUUGCGAAGAGCUGCUGGCAAAAUGCACGAAAGUGCUGUUUGAAUGAAUGCUUACAAGCCUGCUGCUGCCUACCAUCGCUCAGUCAGACUGCUCUAUCAAAUAUCAAAUCAUAGAAUUAAUUAUAACAUAAUAACACACAGAAAUACGAGCCUUUGGUCAUUAAUAUGGUCAAAUCCGGAAACUAUCAUUUCGAAAACAAAACGUUUAUUAUUUCAGUGAAAUACAUAACCUUUCUGUAUUUUAUCUAAUGGAUGGCAUCCAUAAGUCUAAAUAUUGUUAUUACAUUGUACAACCUUCAAUGUUAUGUCAUAAUUAUGUGAAAUUCUGGCAAAUUAGUUCGCAAUGAGCCAGGCUGCCCAAACUGUUGCAUAUAUCCUGACUCUGCGUGCAAUGAAUUGCAGAGAAGUGACACAAUUUCACCUGGUUAAUAUGGCCUGCUAACCUGGAUUUCUUUUAGCUAAAUAUGCAGGUUUAAAAAUAUAUACUUCUGUGUAUUGAUUUUAAGAAAGGCAUUGGUGUUUAUAGUUAGGUACAGUUGCAACGAUUGUGCUUUUUUCGCAAAUGAACUUUUGUUAAAUCAUCCCCCUGCGUUGCAUCAAUUAUAUGCAACGCAGGACAUGCAAGAUAACUACACAUGGUUGAUGAUAUUACUAGUUUAACUAGUGAUUAUAAUUGAUUGUUUUUUAUAAGAUAAGUUUAAUGCUAGCUAGCAACUUACCUUGGCUUCUACUGCAUUCGCGUAACAGGCAGGCUCCCCGUGGAGUGCAAUGAGAGGCAGGUGGUUAGAGCGUUGGACUAGUUAACCGUAUGGUUGCAAGAUUGAAUCCCGGAGCUGUCAAGGUAAAAAUCUGUCAUUCUGCCCCUGAACAAGGCAGUUACCCCACCAUUCCUAGGCCGUCAUUGAAAAUAAGAAUGUGUUCUUAACUGACUUGCCUAGUAUAAUAAAGGUGUAUUUUCUCAUUUAUUUUUUAUUUUAAAAAAGAAACUCAGCCAAUUCAGUGUCCAAAAAUACCGAUUUCCGAUUGUUAUGAAGCGGCCAUUCCGAUUAAUCUUCGACCUCUACUCCAUAUAUCAACGCAUAUGGUGAGGAAGAUGACCCUCCCAUCCACAGUUGGUGGAUGUCCUGAAGAUCAUCAUGUAAAACAAAUUGAAUUUGGACUAUGACUUCACUCUUCAAUACGAAGAUCCUGACUUUGAUGGACAAUUGUGCUGUCUAGUGGACAUUGAGGAGUUUCCUGAGGAAGCUGUCCUGAAGAUAAUUGGAUCAGAAAGUGAUGCCAACUCAACUGAAUCUGGAGACGCAGAUAUACUGCCCCACGCCAGAGAGUCUCCAGAGUGCCUAGAGAAGUGGCCUGACGGUUUUCCGGGUGCCAUCUUUUUCUUAUGAUAUUGAGCACAUGCUUAGAGAAGGAAAUAGUUGCUAUGAGAACUGGAAAGACUCUUAAAUUAACAAGAGCCCAGAAGCAUGACAUUCUUGAGAACAUAGCUAAAGCCAUACACAGCUUCAAGACCUAUCCAAGUGAGGGAGAAAUAGGCAAGGCUACCAAAGCGCUUGUUACCAAGCACCCAUGUCUCAAAGGAGCAGGGAGUCGGUCUGGAUGGUAUGCAUGGAUGACUGGUCUGAAGUUCAAGAUGGGGAACUAUCGGACCAAGUUGAGCAGAGCUGGAGUUCCUGAGUUCUAUCUCAAUGCAGGCAAAAGGAGCAGAAACAACCUAGAGAGAGAGUCACCCCACUCAAACAUCAAGAGACCCAGACGAGUUGAGGUAAACGUCCUGCCAUGCUUGAGAGACCCAGAGUCUCUCAAGCAGCUGAGACAACAAAUCAUCAACCAAGUUUCAAAGACUGAGUGAAACCUGCCAUUAAUAGACAAGCUGAUGCAGACAACUUUUGCCCUUUGAUGAAAUGAGAUCGUAAAUGAUGGACCGCCAGUGAAAUGGUUCCCAAGGGAACUGGCCAGCCCUUCCCAUGGAGUCUCAGGUAAAACAGCUGUUAUCCCUUUCUCUUUCUCUUAUUUUGUCUCUGUCUCCCUCUUGCUCCCUUUAACCCUCUUCCCCUUUGUAAGAUCUUUCUUUCAGUCAACAUUGUGUUCAAUGGGGCUUUUGUUUGUGGUUUGUUGAUGCAUGUGUGUGCAGAGUUCCACCGCAUAACAAACAUCAUUUUGAAGAGCCCGAUUCUAUGCCAAGCUUACAUUUAUGCAUGUUUCAGGUGGAGGAAACUGAAGAGCCAGACAUUACACACCUGUCGCUCUCCUCACUAUUCUCAGUGAGAACUGAACAUGUCCUUUUCAACCCAGCCAGGAUUGCUGUUGUGCUAGAAGGUGACAUUAUAAUGAAUGAUCUCCCCAGGUUGGCUGAUGCAAUUAUGUUAUUUCUUGCAUCUGAGUUAUCCCAAGCAGCUGAUCCAUACUUCUGACUUCAUACAAAAAAGUUCUAGGCUGAUGGGAAAAUGCUUAAACCCAAGCUUGUGUCUCUGAAAAUGACCAAGACUAAUGAUGUAUGGGUCUGUGUGGGUAUUUACCAUCAGUGAGGUUGUAGAUGCUGCAAGGCCUUUCUCGUGUGGGUCCACAUUGUCCCAUCAUUGCCUUGUUAAUCGCAGUAUAGGCUCACACAGCCACUGUUUCCAAUCAAAAACCAUACAUUCUUUCAAAGUUAUAAAUGUUUUCCUUUCAUUGUCAUUGAUGUUUGACAUAAACCACGUCCAGUGGGUGUUAUUUUUGACCUCACAAAUGUUUUAGCUGUUCUGCUCUUCAGUAGAACUCAAUAGAAACGGAGAUAUCUCUUUUUGUACUGCCGCAGUCAAUCAACCCGUGAACAAUGUGGAGGGCUUGAUGAGAUAAGCGAGAGUUGAGAUUUGAUUUCCACUCCAAAUAAAGUUGUAACGUACAUUAUGUUCUGAAUGUAAUGGAGGUUAGCAAGAGUUAAUAUGCACUAAAAAAAGCUGGAACAUAUUUUCUAAAAUGUAUGUAUUGCAAUGGUUCUAACAGUUAAUGGUUUUUGAUCAUGGCUGCAGCUUAAUGUGUUGUUCCUCAUUUUCCCGUUUUUGUCUAAUUGCUGCAGCCUCAUGCGGACAAUGUUUCCAAUGGAGAAUUCUGUGACACUGUUUGGAUAGUCCACCUGUAGAUAUUUAAUUGAGCAUUCAAAGACCAUCAACAAAUGUUAAAUUGUAUAUCAAACUAACCCUAACAUAUCAGCAGAGAUACAGUUGACAUUUUCUUAGUUUAUUGAUAGUUUGAGCAUGUACAGUACAGGGGACUAUCCAAAUGGAGUUACAGAAAAUUCGAAGUUCUCUAGAAGUUCAAAAAUGUUUUAACCAGGAUUCUAUCCAACCAUUUCAUGCUAGAGGGCACAUAAAGCCUACAUGAUGAGAUUGGACAAAGAAGCGAGAUACUUCUUUUAUUUGUGAAACUGCAACCAAGCAUCGAUGAUCAUGUCACCAGAAUAAGACCCUUGAUAUUUAUUGGAGAGGAGCACCUUGCACUUUCACCACCCUGUGAAGUUGAUCACAACUUAUUUCACCUGUCGUCUAAUAAACUGCAUGCUUUCCCGACAAGUCGCAGUGGGAGGACCACACGUCAUUGUGUAACUCCAAGUUUACUUCAAUAUAAUGGUUAUUAUCUAAAAAUGUCCUCAUAAAAGCGUUUCCACUUGUCUAUACUCGCAUAAAAAGGUUAGAUGGAAACUUGGUUAGUGUCACAUUUGGUUAUUGUGUUGGAGGCAGGUGUUUUGUUCAGUUGAAUACACAGGCAUAGGAAUAUUAAAGUUUGCGUUGUCAAGAACAUUUUAAAUUGUUUACUUUAUUUGAUUCCUAAUUUUAUUUUGUACUGUAUAUUAAUAGCAAUCUAUGAUUGUUUUUUAAAUAUUAUUCAAGCCUUUAUAAUAAAGAUU
Molecule: RNA transcript, 5974 nt
Organism: Oncorhynchus keta (chum salmon)
Lineage: Eukaryota; Metazoa; Chordata; Actinopteri; Salmoniformes; Salmonidae
Gene: tmem74b
Gene name: transmembrane protein 74B
Exons: 4
Source: RefSeq, a predicted model, not a curated record